GCUUCAGUAGCUCAGUUGGAAGAGCGUCAGUCUCAUAAUCUGAAGGUCGAGAGUUCGAACCUCCNCUGGAGCA
This 73-nucleotide transfer RNA is filed under the name Saccharomyces kudriavzevii FM1078. Its description in RNAcentral is "tRNA-Met (CAT) (tRNA-Met-CAT-1-1)". It matches the Rfam family "tRNA". From Rfam's summary of the family: Transfer RNA (tRNA) molecules are approximately 80 nucleotides in length. The record is from RNAcentral. Lineage: Eukaryota; Fungi; Ascomycota; Saccharomycetes; Saccharomycetales; Saccharomycetaceae.